UACGGGAGGCAGCAGUAGGGAAUCUUCCGCAAUGGACGAAAGUCUGACGGAGCAACGCCGCGUGAGUGAUGAAGGUUUUCGGAUCGUAAAACUCUGUUGUUAGGGAAGAACAAGUACCGUUCGAAUAGGGCGGUACCUUGACGGUACCUAACCAGAAAGCCACGGCUAACUACGUGCCAGCAGCCGCGGUAAUACGUAGGUGGCAAGCGUUGUCCGGAAUUAUUGGGCGUAAAGCGCGCGCAGGCGGUUUCUUAAGUCUGAUGUGAAAGCCCGCGGCUCAACCGGGGAGGGUCAUUGGAAACUGGGGAACUUGAGUGCAGAAGAGGGGAGUGAAUUCCACGUGUAGCGGUGAAAUGCGUAGAGAUGUGGAGGAACACCAGUGGCGAAGGCGACUCUCUGGUCUGUAACUGACGCUGAGGCGCGAAAGCGUGGGGAGCGAACAGGAUUAGAUACCCUGGUAGUCCACGCCGUAAACGAUGAGUGCUAAGUGUUAGAGGGUUUCCGCCCUUUAGUGCUGCAGCAAACGCAUUAAGCACUCCGCCUGGGGAGUACGGUCGCAAGACUGAAACUCAAAGGAAUUGACGGGGGCCCGCACAAGCGGUGGAGCAUGUGGUUUAAUUCGAAGCAACGCGAAGAACCUUACCAGGUCUUGACAUCCUCUGACAACCCUAGAGAUAGGGCUUCCCCUUCGGGGGCAGAGUGACAGGUGGUGCAUGGUUGUCGUCAGCUCGUGUCGUGAGAUGUUGGGUUAAGUCCCGCAACGAGCGCAACCCUUGAUCUUAGUUGCCAGCAUUCAGUUGGGCACUCUAAGGUGACUGCCGGUGACAAACCGGAGGAAGGUGGGGAUGACGUCAAAUCAUCAUGCCCCUUAUGACCUGGGCUACACACGUGCUACAAUGGGCAGAACAAAGGGCAGCGAAGCCGCGAGGCUAAGCCAAUCCCACAAAUCUGUUCUCAGUUCGGAUCGCAGUCUGCAACUCGACUGCGUGAAGCUGGAAUCGCUAGUAAUCGCGGA
RNAcentral lists this ribosomal RNA (1015 nucleotides) under Bacillus licheniformis. RNAcentral's name for it is "bacterial SSU rRNA". It matches the Rfam family "Bacterial small subunit ribosomal RNA", at positions 340 to 1348 of the family's 1533-position model. Lineage: Bacteria; Bacillati; Bacillota; Bacilli; Caryophanales; Bacillaceae. The record is from RNAcentral.